GACGAACGCUGGCGGCGUGCCUAAUACAUGCAAGUAGAACGCUGAAGGAGGAGCUUGCUUCUCUGGAUGAGUUGCGAACGGGUGAGUAACGCGUAGGUAACCUGCCUGGUAGCGGGGGAUAACUAUUGGAAACGAUAGCUAAUACCGCAUAACAGUAGAUAUCGCAUGAUAUCUACUUGAAGGGUGCAAUUGCAUCACUACCAGAUGGACCUGCGUUGUAUUAGCUAGUUGGUGAGGUAACGGCUCACCAAGGCGACGAUACAUAGCCGACCUGAGAGGGUGAUCGGCCACACUGGGACUGAGACACGGCCCAGACUCCUACGGGAGGCAGCAGUAGGGAAUCUUCGGCAAUGGACGGAAGUCUGACCGAGCAACGCCGCGUGAGUGAAGAAGGUUUUCGGAUCGUAAAGCUCUGUUGUAAGAGAAGAACGAGUGUGAGAGUGGAAAGUUCACACUGUGACGGUAUCUUACCAGAAAGGGACGGCUAACUACGUG
This 495-nucleotide ribosomal RNA is filed under the name uncultured bacterium. RNAcentral's name for it is "partial 16S ribosomal RNA". It matches the Rfam family "Bacterial small subunit ribosomal RNA", at positions 28 to 507 of the family's 1533-position model. The record is from RNAcentral.